Non-coding RNA from Plectropomus leopardus (leopard coralgrouper), 446 nucleotides. The record is from RefSeq and is a predicted model, not a curated record. NCBI's taxonomy places the organism in Eukaryota, Metazoa, Chordata, Actinopteri, Perciformes, Serranidae.
UCAACCCUCCAUCAUUCCUAACUGGUUUGGUAAAGUAAACAUUUAUUUUGACUGCUGUACAAAAGUGUCAAAGGCCCGCAUUUCAGAAGCUGUCAAGGCCUGCUAUGAACAGAAGGAACACUCAGUCAACAACUGUACAAUACAUGCAUACAUUUUCAAGACUGAAAGUGACCAUUGCCACUGUGUGGACCCAAGUGCCAGCUGGCUCCAAGAAAGACUCAAUAAGUUAGAAGAAAAAGGAAUAUUUUGCAAAAUCAUGUGAAAGGCCCUCAACAGCUGAAAAGAAGAUGAUGCACCGUGACCCUCUACGCAGAUAUCUAACUAUUUCUGUUUUAUUUAGAUGCAAUGCUUCAUUUCUGCUGUUUUUAAAUAAAUUAAAUGAUAUUAGGAUUGCUUUUACAAGAAUCUUUAUCAUCUUCUAAACAAAUAAAGAUUAUUUGGAAAAA